Molecule: ribosomal RNA, 253 nt
Filed under: uncultured bacterium
Lineage: Bacteria
Description: partial 16S ribosomal RNA
Rfam family: Bacterial small subunit ribosomal RNA
Source: RNAcentral
UACGUAGGGGGCGAGCGUUGUCCGGAUUUAUUGGGCGUAAAGAGCGUGUAGGCGGCCAGGUAGGUCUGCUGUGAAAACUCGAGGCUCAACCUCGAGACGUCGGCGGAAACCAUCUGGCUAGAGUCCGGAAGAGGAGAGUGGAAUUCCUGGUGUAGCGGUGAAAUGCGCAGAUAUCGGGAGGAACACCAAUGGCGAAGGCAGCUCGCUGGGACGGUACUGACGCUGAGACGCGAAAGCGUGGGGAGCAAACAGG